UACGGGGGGGGUAAGCGUUGUUCGGAAUUACUGGGCGUAAAGGGCUCGUAGGCGGCCAACUAAGUCGGACGUGAAAUCCCUCAGCUUAACUGGGGAACUGCGUCCGAUACUGGAUGGCUUGGAUUUGGGAGAGGGAUGCGGAAUUCCAGGUGUAGCGGUGAAAUGCGUAGAUAUCUGGGGGAACACCGGUGGCGAAGGCGGCAUCCUGGACCAAUAUUGACGCUGAGGAGCGAAAGCCAGGGGAGCAAACGGG
This 253-nucleotide ribosomal RNA is filed under the name uncultured bacterium. RNAcentral's name for it is "partial 16S ribosomal RNA". It matches the Rfam family "Bacterial small subunit ribosomal RNA", at positions 524 to 776 of the family's 1533-position model. The record is from RNAcentral.